AGGAGAGUUUGAUCCUGGCUCAUAACGAACGCUGGCGGCGUGCUUAACACAUGCAAGUCGAACGGAGUUUAUAUGAAACCUACUGAUUUUAAGCUUAUUGGCGGACGGGUGAGUAACGCGUGGGUAACCUGCCUUAUACCGGGGGACAACAGUUAGAAAUGACUGCUAAUACCGCAUAAGCGCACGAAGUCGCAUGACUUAGUGUGAAAAACUCCGGUGGUAUAAGAUGGACCCGCGUCUGAUUAGCCAGUUGGUGAGGUAACGGCCCACCAAAGCAACGAUCAGUAGCCGGCCUGAGAGGGUGAACGGCCACAUUGGGAUUGAGACACGGCCCAAACUCCUACGGGAGGCAGCAGUGGGGAAUAUUGGACAAUGGGGGAAACCCUGAUCCAGCGACGCCGCGUGAGUGAAGAAGUAUUUCGGUAUGUAAAGCUCUAUCAGCAAGGAAGAUAAUGACGGUACUUGACUAAGAAGCCCCGGCUAACUACGUGCCAGCAGCCGCGGUAAUACGUAGGGGGCAAGCGUUAUCCGGAUUUACUGGGUGUAAAGGGAGCGUAGACGGUUUGGCAAGUCUGAUGUGAAAGCCCGGGGCUCAACCGCGGGACUGCAUUGGAAACUGUCAGACUUGAGUGCAGGAGAGGUAAGUGGAAUUCCUAGUGUAGCGGUGAAAUGCGUAGAUAUUAGGAGGAACACCGGUGGUGAAGGCGGCUUACUGGACUGUAACUGACGUUGAGGCUUGAAAGCGUGGGGAGCAAACAGGAUUAGAUACCAUGGUAGUCCCCU
This 783-nucleotide ribosomal RNA is filed under the name uncultured Bacillota bacterium. RNAcentral's name for it is "bacterial SSU rRNA". It matches the Rfam family "Bacterial small subunit ribosomal RNA", at positions 1 to 799 of the family's 1533-position model. The record is from RNAcentral. Lineage: Bacteria; Bacillati; Bacillota.